UAUAGUUUGUAUUUUUUUUUAUAGUUUAUCAAUUUUCAUCUAAAUCUCUUUUCAUCCAAUUGGUGUUUUUAAAUCUGGGUUAUUGAGAAAUGUUUCAUAUUUUUUAUUUUUAAUUUGUGGUUUUAAGGUUAAUUUGUGUAAAGAUUAGAUUAACGCUCAUUAGAUUCAUCAAAUGGUUUUAAAGCGCAGUAGCUGCAUCGUUUUCGACUUAAUGUUUGUAUUUCUCUCUGCUCUCUGAAUUAGAAUUUCAUUUUUAAAUUUGUAUGGUGAAUAUUUUUAUUUUCCCCCAAUUAAUUUUAUUUUAGAUUAUUAAGUUUUGUUUGAAUUUGAUUUUGUGCAUCCCACUUCCUCUUAGCAAGAAUUAUAAAGGUUGAUUAUUUUUCAAGUUCUAUAUUUUAUUGUUAAUCCUGUAGAUUUACUUUUUGGUAUGAUUUCCAAGGCUCACUUGAAUUGUUAAUACGUGAGCACUGCCGGUUGAUUUAGCUUUUAGUUCAUCGUACUUCUUUUUUUGUUUAUAGCAAUCUUGCCGGCUUUAGCUAACCCAAAAAUUUUCACUUUUUGUAGACUUCGAAUAUGGUCAAAUUGAAGUUGAUUCUACGAACCAAAUACCGAUAAAUAGACAUUUUUUGUAUCCAACUGCACAAAUCAUUUUAAGGUUCCUCGAAACUUUUUCGGAUAUGAAAUACCUGCUAAAUCAAGGGAGAAGGGACACAGGUUGGUUUUCUCUGUCGAGGUAAAUACCAAUAUUUGAUUAUAUACAUUGAGGUUUGGUAAAAAUCUUUUCAUUACGUAUUAAUUCUGGAUGAAUUUAGCACUGCUAGAGUCCAUUGUAGCAAUGUUCACGAAGUAUAAUAUAGGAUAUCGUUAUUAUUAACAUGUUAUUUAGGGGGUUUGCGCAAGGUCAUAUUCGUUUGCCAGAUAUAUAUAAGGUCGGGUGAAAGGUUUAUUCGCGUUUCUGUACUGUUGGUUUCACUACAAGCUACUUUUGGACCCUUAAUACCAAUAUUUGAGCUUGGAUGAAGUAUAAAAGUUCAGUAUUUUUUUCCAGGGACCUACUAUAUGUUCAUUUCGUACAAUUCUCAAUAAGUUUUAAGCUCAGUUUUGUAUAACACCACAUAGGUUGGAGAAAAUGUAAAUUAUCAUUAUGUGAAUGCUUUGACAGAAGGUCUACAGAUGUUGACAGGAACAAGGAAGUUAUAGAAUUGUGAACUAUUGGAACUCAUGCUUUUGCAAAUAUUUUUUUCCGUUUGAUCGUUGUCAUGUUGAUCUCGAUGAAAGAUUUUCCUAAAAACAAUCCACUUAUACAGAUAUCGGCAAUCAUUCUAGGUGUGGAAUGGGUUAUCUUAAAUAAUUGGUUAGACAUAGGUUGAAUUUGGCCUCAUGUAGUCAUCAAGCAUUAAUGUUCCUUUCAAGGUUAUGUACAAAAUGGUGUGUGUACCUGUAUUUUCUUUGAUUUCUGAAGUAAGUUGGAUGUUAAUCCUAUAUUUUUGUAUGCAUAGGCAAAAUUGAAAAAGCGUGUAUGGAACCGCGACAUGUUGGAUUUUGGGAACAUGAACACCAGCAUAUGCAUCACCUCUUAUAUUCUUUUUCUCCAUGUAUACAAUUUUAGAACUUUUGUUCCAAAGUUUCAAAGAACUUUGUAACGGUAUUGGAAUAGUAUGGGGUAGUAGUCAUGUAAAAAUUGUUGUCGUUCAA
This is a long non-coding RNA of Papaver somniferum (opium poppy), 1695 nucleotides long. RefSeq lists it as uncharacterized. The record is from RefSeq and is a predicted model, not a curated record. The transcript is spliced from 3 exons. NCBI's taxonomy places the organism in Eukaryota, Viridiplantae, Streptophyta, Magnoliopsida, Ranunculales, Papaveraceae.